CAUAUAUACAUAUAUUAUAUCUAUGUAUUUUUGUUAUAUAGAAAAUUAAUUGUUGUGAUUAAAGAGUUGAGUGACAAAAAAAAAGAAGUAGAAGAAAUGGAUAAAAGCCUUAAAAAAUAUAAUAGUGAUAUACAAGAAAUGAAAUCCAUAAUUAAUAAAAGUGACAACGAUUUAAAGGAACAAGCCCUAAUAAUUGAUAAUUUUACUGGGUUAAACAAAAGCUUAAAAGAUGAGUUAAAUAGUGCCACUAAAAAUUUAGAAAUAUCUAAAAGAUAUAUUAUGAAUUAUGAAAAAAAUGAAGAAGAGAUGAAAAAUAGAAUAAUGAAGUUAGAAAAAGAACUAUAUGAAAAAAACGAAGAAUGCGAAAUAAAAACCCAAAAAUUAAUGCUUAAAGAAAAGGAAUUAUCCGAUAAAGAGAUACAACUAAAAAAAAUAGCAUCAGUUAUCAUUAGUUAACAAUAUAUAUAACAUAUUUUUCUCUUAAAUAUUUAAAUUGUAUUUUUGUAUGUAACUUAAAUGCGAUUUUUUUUUUUUUUNNNNNNNNNNAAAAAAAAAAAAAAAUAUAAACACAACAAAUUUUAAAUAAAAAAAAUAGUAAAAUAUAUAAAACA
This 611-nucleotide long non-coding RNA is filed under the name Piliocolobus tephrosceles (Ugandan red Colobus). Its description in RNAcentral is "lncRNA (ENSPTEG00000002683.1)". Lineage: Eukaryota; Metazoa; Chordata; Mammalia; Primates; Cercopithecidae. The record is from RNAcentral.